This 363-nucleotide transfer-messenger RNA is filed under the name Salmonella enterica. It matches the Rfam family "transfer-messenger RNA". Rfam says of the family: Bacterial tmRNA, also known as 10Sa RNA or SsrA, is named for its dual tRNA and mRNA-like properties. Its role is to liberate the mRNA from a stalled ribosome. Lineage: Bacteria; Pseudomonadati; Pseudomonadota; Gammaproteobacteria; Enterobacterales; Enterobacteriaceae. The record is from RNAcentral. RNAcentral also lists the same sequence under 1 other name.
GGGGCUGAUUCUGGAUUCGACGGGAUUUGCGAAACCCAAGGUGCAUGCCGAGGGGCGGUUGGCCUCGUAAAAAGCCGCAAAAAAAUAGUCGCAAACGACGAAACCUACGCUUUAGCAGCUUAAUAACCUGCUUAGAGCCCUCUCUCCCUAGCCUCCGCUCUUAGGACGGGGAUCAAGAGAGAUCAAACCCAAAAGAGAUCGCGCGGAUGCCCUGCCUGGGGUUGAAGCGUUAAAACGAAUCAGGCUAGUCUGGUAGUGGCGUGUCCGUCCGCAGGUGCCAGGCGAAUGUAAAGACUGACUAAGCAUGUAGUACCGAGGAUGUAGGAAUUUCGGACGCGGGUUCAACUCCCGCCAGCUCCACCA